Non-coding RNA from Paramuricea clavata, 261 nucleotides. Lineage: Eukaryota; Metazoa; Cnidaria; Anthozoa; Malacalcyonacea; Plexauridae. The record is from the annotation of a GenBank genome assembly.
CCUCGGACGUGAUCAAAUUGUGUGGACUUGAAAUCUAGUCUAGUCCUGACCUCAUAGUCGGAUUUGAAAUAUUAUCCCUUGUCAAAUCAGAUGCCAAUGGUGGCCAAGGAAGAUUCAGUUUUGGUAUUUCUUGCACCUUUUGGUGAAGAAUCAAUGCAACAUUGUAUAGAAUUUGUAACUCAUUGACUUUAGAAUUUCCCUCAGUUUUUGUGUUGGAAUUCACAUCUUCAUAAUCAAUGGUACAGCUCUCUUCAUCAAAGU